AUGAGUACUGUGUACCUCAGAUUCUGCAGACUUAAAAUUCUGUCCACCUCAACCUGUUCCACUAUAUAUUCUAUUUUGCCUGCAGGGAAGCAGCACAGCAGCGACUUUUCUCGCCUGAUCGCCCAGGUUCGGGGUCGCCUAGAGACCAACAGACAGACUCGUAUCAAACAGGAAGUCAUUGUGGUGGGAGAGGAUGAACCAAGCACACUCUCUGCAGAUCAAGUUGCCAAAUCAAAAAGCUGCUUAGUGAUGAAGGUAGAAGAUGAAGAAGCUGACAAGGAGCCAUCUGCAGGAAGGACUGAUUUACCAUCCAGCCCCACUUACAGUGACGUGUCCAUCAGCAGUUCUGUCUCGGACAUCUUCGGUCCAGAGCCUGCAUUGAACGUUGAAGAGACAGAAAAGACCCCAGUCCAAAAGAGAACAUCCAGUGCGAGAGAAGACGACGCAGCUUCAUUGCCCGUAUUUGGAAAACGACAGCGUAAGAAGUAAAGAAGGAUGGAGGAGAGCCAAACAUCUCUAGCGGAUCAAUUCCAAUAAACCUUUGACUGACUUUCAAGCAAAUCAGGGAGUUUUUUUGUUUGUUUUUUUAUGCACAUUCCUGUCCGACAUUGAUAGAAAUUUUCUAAAGCUGCACAGAUUACUUAUUUUUUUUAUAGUUUGAAUAAAUGUUAAUAAAAGUAUUUUAACAUAUUUUGUAGUCUUGUGAUCCAUGAGGAGCUGUCUCCUCGAGGAUCAGGAGAAACAAGACUAUGAAAUCAACACUUGAAUCACAGAAACUAAAGAUUUAGCCUCUAUGUUUAGAGAGUAGACAAGAUUUCUAGUGUUAGACUCACCGUAUCCAGUGUUGAUAACCAGUGUUUUGUUGCUGCUUGUAAUUUUAUUCCUCAUUAUGUUGUUUUAUGUUCCUGAAUUAUUUUCUGUUACUUUGUUGCAUGUGUAAUAUGCAGUUUUAACUGAAAUAAAUAUUGUGUAGUUUUGCAGAUGAACAUUUUUUGAGUUACAUAAUAGAUUUAUCUUCCAACAUUAUCUGCCCAUGUCGUCACAAAUGGAUGUUGACGUUUCUGUACACUGUGUGUGGAGCCAAACUUCUGGACUCAUUUUCUGCGGUCUAACUAUCGAAGCAGCAGCAGUAGAAAUUAUACCCAAAUAUGCAUUGAAAAUGCACUUUUUUUCCACCAAAUAAGUUGGAUGUCUGUUUGCUAACCUAUCACCUCCAUCUUCAAGUUUACCCUCGUAUUUGGGUUUCCUCUUUGCCAACUCAGAUUAGGAGCUCAGUUCCACGGGAUUCAUCUGUCAUUUGCAAUCUCAGCGCACGCAACAAACCUUUAGCUUUCAAAUUGAUUGUUUUCUUUGAGAGAAAAGUAACGGGGUGAGUUUAAUUUAAUCUUGUGGAAACCCCGGGUCAAAGCGAGGGAGAGUGUAAACACUUAAGAUGGGGAGAUGGUGUUUAUGUAUACGUGCAUGGGAGAGUGAGCAGGGAACACGUUUGGGAGUCGACCUUGAUUGAAAACAGAUCUCGCCCGGAGUCAGAAACGCUCCGCUUCUGGCUCUCCUCUCAGAUGCAGCGGGGACUUGAUUCAUUUCAGUGUGGCAUGCUCAUUAUACCACACACUUAUAAGUCCCCAUGCUUCUUCACUUCUUUCCUAUAUGAUGAUGCAGCACGUUACUCUUGUUUGAAACCACAGGAGAGGACUGAGUGGCUGCUGAUCCCUGCCUCCAUUUGGGAAGCAGUGACGCAGAAAGAAAUAUCACCAAUUACACACACACACACACAGCCUCCCAGAAAGAUCCACAGAGACCCGUCAGCAGAGACCUCAGUCACCCUGUCUGUCUGGGCGGUGAUGUUGAAGGGGAUAUUGAUCAUCUGUCCAACACAAGGUGAAACGGGAUUUAAAUCUCAAAUCUGUUCUAAUUAUACGACGUCACCCUGCUCUGCUCCGACUUUACAUUCGC
RNAcentral lists this long non-coding RNA (1953 nucleotides) under Sparus aurata (gilthead seabream). Its description in RNAcentral is "lncRNA (ENSSAUG00010005813.1)". The record is from RNAcentral. Lineage: Eukaryota; Metazoa; Chordata; Actinopteri; Spariformes; Sparidae.